UGCAGAGGCGCCCGAGGGAUGACCUGGUUCGCUUUUCCUGUUAGUUGGCAUUCAUGACAGGUGCCCAGCCCAAGCAGGGUCAUGUGCUAGGGAUAACACUUGCUGUCUGAAUGGUUUAGGGACGACCACCUGCUUGACAACCCCUAAACCCCGAACGUUACCCUGCGCUGCCCACCUGCGCAUAAGAACGCCAGCCUCCAUGAAUUUUCAUUGAAGUGGAAAUACUGGACUGGGCUGGCUCCACGUUCACACGCUCAAGAAUCGAGUCUGACAGGUCCACCUCGUCUCCCAACCUACGGGACUGGGCCCGUGUAAGCACACAAGCUGGGAACACAUGAGGGUAAGCCUGUACUAAAAUGUCGUCCGUAGGUUCCAGGGUAGGUGUGUCCACCACCUCUAACAUGGGUGUUACAUGGCCACCGGCAAUGUCAUUCCCAAGCAGAAAUGUGACUCCCUCCACCGGCAGAGUUGGUACCACGCCAACACGAAAACGUCCCGACACUAGUUUGGACUUUAACCAGACCCAAUGCAGUGGUACAGACAUGGGGGUUGCUCCGAGUCCUUGUAGAAGGACGUUUGACCCACAGUAUGACCCAUGGGACCAGGGCAGGCUGUCUGCUAGUACUAAAGACUGCGCUGCCCCCGUGUCACGCAGUAUGGUGACGCUCA
Molecule: non-coding RNA, 669 nt
Organism: Gasterosteus aculeatus aculeatus (three-spined stickleback)
Lineage: Eukaryota; Metazoa; Chordata; Actinopteri; Perciformes; Gasterosteidae
Source: RefSeq, a predicted model, not a curated record